RNAcentral lists this microRNA precursor (94 nucleotides) under Canis lupus familiaris (dog). RNAcentral describes it as "mir-8799 microRNA precursor family". It matches the Rfam family "mir-8799 microRNA precursor family". Lineage: Eukaryota; Metazoa; Chordata; Mammalia; Carnivora; Canidae. The record is from Rfam by way of RNAcentral.
GGGAGGAGCGCCGGAUCCUGGGCUGUGUCCCCCGUGCCCUGGGCUGCAGGGCCUGCACCAUUGGAAUCGGGCUCCUGGGGCCGCACAGCCCCCU